UUAUGGCCAUAUCACAUUGAAACAAUGGUUCUUGUAUGAUCACUGAAGUUAAGCAGCAUCAAGCCUGGUUAGUACAUAGAUAGGUGACUGCUUGGUAACACCAGGUGCUGUAAG
This is a non-coding RNA of Acanthosepion pharaonis, 114 nucleotides long. Lineage: Eukaryota; Metazoa; Mollusca; Cephalopoda; Sepiida; Sepiidae. The record is from the annotation of a GenBank genome assembly.